UACGAAGGGGGCUAGCGUUGCUCGGAAUCACUGGGCGUAAAGCGCACGUAGGCGGCUUCUUAAGUCAGGGGUGAAAUCCUGGAGCUCAACUCCAGAACUGCCUUUGAUACUGAGAAUCUUGAGUAUGGGAGAGGUGAGUGGAACUGCGAGUGUAGAGGUGAAAUUCGUAGAUAUUCGCAAGAACACCAGUGGCGAAGGCGGCUCACUGGCCCAUAACUGACGCUGAGGCACGAAAGCGUGGGGAGCAAACAGG
Molecule: ribosomal RNA, 253 nt
Filed under: uncultured bacterium
Lineage: Bacteria
Description: partial 16S ribosomal RNA
Rfam family: Bacterial small subunit ribosomal RNA
Source: RNAcentral